AGGGUAGAGAGAAGGAGAACAAACUAGUGUAACGAAAUGUGUCCGCAAGAAACCGUAAAUAGGCCAGGUGGCGCUGUGAAGCAAUAAAGGAGAUAAGGAUAGAAGAUGUAUUGACAGAGAUGCACAGUGUUCGCGCCUUUUUUAAAUAGAAGAAUCAUGACAUUAUUAUACAAAUUUCAUUGAUUCGUUCAUGGUUCAUGAUUCAACUGCAGUUGAAACAACAAAGACAAUGACGAUAUUGGAGAUCAAUGUUAAUUAAUAAGAAACGAAUAAUAUAUAACCCGUUUCCACGAAGCUUGAUCAAUAUUGAUGGCGGAUAUUUUCAAUCCAUAAGAAGUUCAUCAUGAGAAUUCAGAAUAUCAUUCUUGCAGCAAAUAAUACUUUACAUGAAUAAUAUCAAGCUGGGAAAACCUACAUUGUACAUGAAAUAAUAUAAGUAUAAACAACUGUUACUACUACUACUACUAGUAUAAGACAUUAUUCAAUUAAAAAAAAAAACAAUUUAAUGAUUUCAUGUUAUGCUAUGAUGAACAACAAAUUAUGAAUAACACA
Molecule: long non-coding RNA, 552 nt
Organism: Coccinella septempunctata (seven-spotted ladybird)
Lineage: Eukaryota; Metazoa; Arthropoda; Insecta; Coleoptera; Coccinellidae
Exons: 2
Source: RefSeq, a predicted model, not a curated record